This 606-nucleotide ribosomal RNA is filed under the name uncultured bacterium. Its description in RNAcentral is "bacterial SSU rRNA". It matches the Rfam family "Bacterial small subunit ribosomal RNA", at positions 28 to 678 of the family's 1533-position model. The record is from RNAcentral.
AGCGAACGCUGGCGGCAGGCCUAACACAUGCAAGUCGAACGCCCGUAGCAAUACGGGAGUGGCAGAUGGGAGAGUAACACGUGGGAACGUGCCCUUCAGUUCGGAACAACCCAGGGAAACUUGGGCUAAUACCGGAUACGUCCGCAAGGAGAAAGAUUUAUCGCUGAAGGAUCGGCCCGCGUCUGAUUAGCUAGUUGGUGGGGUAAUGGCUCACCAAGGCGACGAUCAGUAGCUGGUCUGAGAGGAUGAUCAGCCUCACUGGGACUGAGACACGGCCCAGACUCCUACGGGAGGCAGCAGUGGGGAAUCUUGGACAAUGGGCGCAAGCCUGAUCCAGCCAUGCCGCGUGGGUGAUGAAGGCCCUAGGGUUGUAAAGCCCUUUCAGCGGGGAAGAUAAUGACGGUACCCGCAGAAGAAGCCCCGGCUAACUUCGUGCCAGCAGCCGCGGUAAUACGAAGGGGGCUACCGUUGCUCUGAAUCACUGGGCGUAAAGCGCACGUAGGCGGAUUGCUAAGUCAGGGGUGAAAUCCUGGAGCUCAACUCCAGAACUGCCCUUGAUACUGGCGGUCUCGAGUCCGGGAGAAGUGAGUGGAACUGCAAGUGUAG